GACGAACGCUGGCGGCGUGCCUAAUACAUGCAAGUCGAGCGCAGGAAACUGACGGAACUCUUCGGAGGGAAGGCAGUGGAAUGAGCGGCGGACGGGUGAGUAACACGUAAGGAACCUGCCUCAAGGAUUGGGAUAACUCCGAGAAAUCGGAGCUAAUACCGGAUAGUUCAACGGACCGCAUGGUCCGCUGAUGAAAGGCGCUCCGGCGUCACCUUGAGAUGGCCUUGCGGUGCAUUAGCUAGUUGGGGGGGUAACGGCCCGCCAAGGCGACGAUGCAUAGCCGGAGUGAGAGCUCGAUCGGCCACAUUGGGACUGAGACACGGCCCAAACUUCUACGGGAGGCAGCAGUAGGGAAAUUUCCGCAAUGGACGAAAGUCUGACGGAGCAAUGCCGCGUGAGUGAUGAAGGUUUUCGAAUCGUAAAGCUCUGUUGUAAGGGAAGAAUAGCGAGGGUAGGAAAUGCCCCAUCGUGUGACGGUACCUUACCAGAAAGCCACGGCUAACUACGUGCCAGCCGCCGCCGUAA
RNAcentral lists this ribosomal RNA (525 nucleotides) under uncultured bacterium. RNAcentral's name for it is "partial 16S ribosomal RNA". It matches the Rfam family "Bacterial small subunit ribosomal RNA", at positions 28 to 523 of the family's 1533-position model. The record is from RNAcentral.